This is a non-coding RNA of Vicia faba (fava bean), 213 nucleotides long. The record is from the annotation of a GenBank genome assembly. Lineage: Eukaryota; Viridiplantae; Streptophyta; Magnoliopsida; Fabales; Fabaceae.
AUGGAGGAGUCAUAUCCUCCUAUAGUUUCAACAAAGAGGGCGUAUGAUAAAGACCAACAAUCCCCCCAGGAUGAGGGUUCUCCAAAACAAACUUAUGUCACUGAGGGUGGUGCUUCUAGGGAGGAAACUCCCUUCAUACGAAUGUCAAAUGUCUUAUCUUCCCAGCUUGCUUUCACUCUUGAGGAGGUUGUUGGUGUUGUUACGAAGUUAUAG